AGUAAAUUUGACUUUGGUUUAUGUUUUAACUAUUAUAAUUUUGUACAUGUUAUAUAUUUAUAUAUAUAUACGUUUAUUUUUAAAAUGAAUUAUUAUAUUUUAUUAUAAUUUAUUUAAUAUAUUUAUAAUAUAUAUAUUGAAUUUAUUUUGUUAUGUGAUAUUGAAAUAUUAUUUUUAAAACGUUCAGUAUAUUUAUUUAUACAAUGAAUGAGAGUUUUAUAUAGAAAUUAUAAGUUAUGAUUGGUUAAAUUUGUGCCAGCAUCUGCGGUUAUACAAAUGAUUAUAGUUAAAAUUAAUUGGUUGAAAAUAAAGUUAUGUGUAAGUUAAUGUUUGGAGGAAAAUUUAUAAUUGGUUUUAAGGUAAAAUUUUUUAAAUUGAUUGGUAUAUUAUAUAUUUCUUUGGUUAAUUGAAUCUUUGAAAAAUUAUAAAUAAACUAGGAUUAGAUACCCUAUUAUUUUAUUUGUAAAAUUUAAUUAUAUUUAUCUAAGUAUUAUGAAGUAUAUAAUUAAUAUAUGAUAUUAAUUAUUAUUUAAUAUUUAAAACUUAAAAAGUUUGGCGGUUUCACAUAUCCAGUUAGGGGAGUUUGUUAAUAUAAUUUGAUAAUCCACAUUUUAAACUUACUUUUUUUUGUGUUAUAUAUAUAUAUAUAUAUAUAUAUAUAUAUAAAUAGUUUAUAUAUUGCUGUCGGUAGUUUAUGUUUUAAAAUUUAAAGAACUAAUAAAAUUAUUGUUUUGUAUGUCAAGUCAUGAUGUAGCUAAUAAAAAAGGUUUAAUGGACUACUUUAAAUAAUGUUGUUGAUCCGGAUGAUGAAAAUUAAGUUUUGUUUUAAGGGGGACUUAAUAGUAAUUUUAUAAUUAGUAUGUAUAAGUGAAUUAGGUUUUGUGAAGUGUACAUAUCGCCCGUCACUCUUGUUAUUGAAAUAAGAUAAGUCGUAACAUAGUAGAGGUAAUGGAAAUUGUUUCUGGAAUAGGU
Molecule: non-coding RNA, 972 nt
Filed under: Macrotritopus defilippi
Lineage: Eukaryota; Metazoa; Mollusca; Cephalopoda; Octopoda; Octopodidae
Source: RNAcentral